AGAGUUUGAUCCUGGCUCAGGACGAACGCUGSCGGCGUGCUUAACACMUGCAAGUCGAACGAGGUUGCUCUUUGUGAAUCCUUCGGGAGGAACUGUGAGUAUACCGAGUGGCGGACGGGUGAGUAACGCGUGAGCAACCUGCCCUGCAACGGGGGACAACAGUUGGAAACGACUGCUAAUACCGCAUGAGACCACGGUUUCGCAUGGAACUGGGGUAAAAGGAUUUAUUCGAUGCAGGAUGGGCUCGCGUCCCAUUAGAUAGUUGGUGAGGUAACGGCCCACCAAGUCAACGAUGGGUAGCCGACCUGAGAGGGUGAUCGGCCACACUGGAACUGAGACACGGUCCAGACUCCUACGGGAGGCAGCAGUGGGGAAUAUUGGGCAAUGGGCGAAAGCCUGACCCAGCAACGCCGCGUGAGGGAAGAAGGUCUUCGGAUUGUAAACCUUUGUCCUAUGGGACGAAACAAAUGACGGUACCAUAGGAGGAAGCUCCGGCUAACUACGUGCCAGCAGCCGCGGUAAUACGUAGGGAGCAAGCGUUGUCCGGAAUUACUGGGCGUAAAGGGUGCGUAGGUGGCCAUGUAAGUCAGGUGUGAAAGACCGGGGCUCAACCCCGGGGCGGCACUUGAAACUGUGUGGCUUGAGUACAGGAGAGGGAAGUGGAAUUCCUAGUGUAGCGGUGAAAUGCGUAGAUAUUAGGAGGAACACCAGUGGCGAAGGCGACUUUCUGGACUGUAACUGACACUGAGGCACGAAAGCGUGGGGAGCAAACAGGAUUAGAUACCCUGGUAGUCCACGCCGUAAACGAUGGAUACUAGGUGUGGGGGGCGAUAGUCCUCCGUGCCGAAGCUAACGCAUUAAGUAUCCCGCCUGGGGAGUACGAUCGCAAGGUUGAAACUCAAAGGAAUUGACGGGGGCCCGCACAAGCAGCGGAGCAUGUGGUUUAAUUCGAAGCAACGCGAAGAACCUUACCAAGGCUUGACAUCCUCUGACGCAUGUAGAGAUACAUGUUCCCUUCGGGGCAGAGAGACAGGUGGUGCAUGGUUGUCGUCAGCUCGUGUCGUGAGAUGUUGGGUUAAGUCCCGCAACGAGCGCAACCUUAUUGCUAGUUGCCAGCGAGUAAAGUCGGGAACUCUAGUGAGACCGCCGGGGACAACUCGGAGGAAGGUGGGGACGACGUCAAAUCAUCAUGCCCCUUAUGUCUUGGGCUACACACGUGCUACAAUGGCCGGUACAAAGGGCAGCGACCCCGUAAGGGUGAGCGAAUCUCAAAAAGCCGGUCCCAGUUCGGAUUGUGGGCUGCAACCCGCCCACAUGAAGUCGGAGUUGCUAGUAAUCGCGAAUCAGCAUGUCGCGGUGAAUGCGUUCCCGGGCCUUGUACACACCGCCCGUCACACCACGGAAGUUGGGAGCACCCGAAGCCAGUGGCUUAACCGUAAGGAGAGAGCUGUCGAAGGUGAGAUCAAUGACUGGGGUGAAGUCGUAACAAGGUAGCCGU
RNAcentral lists this ribosomal RNA (1498 nucleotides) under Christensenella timonensis. RNAcentral's name for it is "16S ribosomal RNA". It matches the Rfam family "Bacterial small subunit ribosomal RNA". Lineage: Bacteria; Bacillati; Bacillota; Clostridia; Christensenellales; Christensenellaceae. The record is from RNAcentral.